This 543-nucleotide long non-coding RNA is filed under the name Medicago truncatula (barrel medic). Its description in RNAcentral is "long non-coding RNA (MTRU_LNC004890)". The record is from RNAcentral. Lineage: Eukaryota; Viridiplantae; Streptophyta; Magnoliopsida; Fabales; Fabaceae.
ACAAUGUUGCAAUGUGGCAGAUAGUUCAUUCAAAAAAGACUAAUCCCCUUAUCCGCAAAACCACAUCAACCAUACCAACUAUCUUAUUUUUACUACUGCAAAGAAUCAUUAUACAACACCGGAACAAGACAAAAAGAAAAUCAGUCCAAAACAGAUAAAACAGGAACAACAAAUACUAGCUUAAGGGGCAAAACAGAAACAUCACACAACCGAGGACAAAUCAGGACUAGAGCUAGAUAAUUGACAGCAUACCAAAAAAAAGGCCUCAUAUUAUAUUAAUUUAAAUGCUUAUGUUUCAUAUUCAGAUUUGUCUCUGUUUGUUCGUCCUCCUACUAUUAUGAUAGUUUUUACCCAUGAAGGUUUUAUCAUCCAUGACAUAUUAUAUUCUAACUUGAAACAUGUUUGUUCGUCCUCCUACUAUUAUGAUAGUUUUUACCCAUGAAGGUUUCAUCAUCCCUGACAUAUUAUAUUCUAACUUGAAACAUUUGAGAUCCAUAUCUUACUGAGCAUGACAACAAGAAAGCCAUCUUCAGAGACUUCAUU